RNAcentral lists this ribosomal RNA (498 nucleotides) under uncultured bacterium. Its description in RNAcentral is "partial 16S ribosomal RNA". It matches the Rfam family "Bacterial small subunit ribosomal RNA", at positions 29 to 523 of the family's 1533-position model. The record is from RNAcentral.
AUUGAACGCUAGCGGCAUGCCUUACACAUGCAAGUCGAACGGCAGCACGGGGCAACCUGGUGGCGAGUGGCGAACGGGUGAGUAAUGUAUCGGAACGUGCCCAGUAGCGGGGGAUAACUACGCGAAAGCGUAGCUAAUACCGCAUACGCCCUACGGGGGAAAGGGGGGGAUCGCAAGACCUCUCACUAUUGGAGCGGCCGAUAUCGGAUUAGCUAGUUGGUGAGGUAAAGGCUCACCAAGGCUUCGAUCCGUAGCUGGUUUGAGAGGACGACCAGCCACACUGGGACUGAGACACGGCCCAGACUCCUACGAGAGGCAGCAGUGGGGAAUUUUGGACAAUGGGGGCAACCCUGAUCCAGCAAUGCCGCGUGUGCGAAGAAGGCCUUCGGGUUGUAAAGCACUUUUGGCAGGAACGAAACGGUGCCGGAUAAUACCUGGCGCCACUGACGGUACCUGCAGAAUAAGCACCGGCUAACUACGUGCCAGCAGCCGCGGUAA